UUGCUUCAGUAGCACAUAUACUAAAAUUGGAAUGAUACAGAAAAGAUUAGUAUGGCCCCCGCCAAAGGAUGACGUAUAGUCAUGGAACAUUCCAUACUUUC
Molecule: small nuclear RNA, 101 nt
Filed under: Octodon degus (degu)
Lineage: Eukaryota; Metazoa; Chordata; Mammalia; Rodentia; Octodontidae
Source: RNAcentral